UACGAAGGUCCCGAGCGUUAUCCGGAUUUAUUGGGCGUAAAGAGCUCGUAGGCGGUUUGGCAAGUCGGGUGUGAAAACUCCGGGCUCAACUCGGAGACGCCACUCGAUACUGCUAUGACUCGAGUCCGGUAGGGGAGUGCGGAAUUCCUGGUGUAGCGGUGAAAUGCGCAGAUAUCAGGAGGAACACCGGUGGCGAAGGCGGCACUCUGGGCCGGAACUGACGCUGAGGAGCGAAAGCGUGGGGAGCGAACAGG
RNAcentral lists this ribosomal RNA (254 nucleotides) under uncultured bacterium. RNAcentral's name for it is "partial 16S ribosomal RNA". It matches the Rfam family "Bacterial small subunit ribosomal RNA", at positions 524 to 776 of the family's 1533-position model. The record is from RNAcentral.